Molecule: RNA transcript, 1568 nt
Organism: Cajanus cajan (pigeon pea)
Lineage: Eukaryota; Viridiplantae; Streptophyta; Magnoliopsida; Fabales; Fabaceae
Gene name: choline monooxygenase, putative (CMO-like)
Source: RefSeq, a predicted model, not a curated record
CACCAGUGAAUGGUAAAGCAGAUGCAAAUGACGACGAGCCUGCAGUUGACACCCUUUGUCUCUAAUCUCCGACAGCGACAACUCCUAAACCCUAAUUUUCCAAAGAAACAUGCAACCUUCACUUGUUGCACAAUCCGGAAUUCAGGCCAUCUUGUAACUGAGACUCAGAGCCUUGUUCACCAAUUCAAUCCGAAGAUUCCCAUAGAGGAAGCCGUUACUCCCCCAACAUCAUGGUACACUGACCCUUCUUUCUUCUGCCAUGAGCUCGAUCGUGUCUUCUAUAGAGGCUGGCAAGUUGUGGCAGGUUCCACGGAGCAGAUAAAGGAUUCCCGUGACUUUUUCACUGGAAGACUAGGAGAUGUGGAAUAUGUGGUCUGUCGAGAUGACAGUGGCAUGGUCCGCGCCUUUCACAAUGUCUGUCGUCAUCAUGCCUCUAUUCUUGCAUCUGGAAGUGGAAACAAGUCCUGCUUUGUCUGCCCUUAUCAUGGGUGGACAUAUGGAUUCAAUGGAGCACUUCUUAAGGCAACUAGAAUAUCGGGAAUGCGAAAUUUUAAUGUAAAUAAUUUUGGCCUUUUACCAAUCAAAGUAGCUAUCUGGGGGCCUUUUGUUCUUCUCAAUUUGGAUAAAGAGAGUCUUUCUCAAAAGGAAGUUGAUAUUCAUGGUGUGUCAAAAGAAUGGCUUGGUAGCUGUUCGGAAUUUCUGAGCACCAAUGGAGUUGAUUCUUCACUAAGUUAUGUUUGUAGACGUGAAUACACGGUUGAAUGCAAUUGGAAGGUUUUCUGUGAUAACUACUUAGAUGGUGGCUAUCAUGUGCCAUAUGCACAUAAAGGCCUUGCAUCUGGUCUUAAGAUGGAUUCGUAUGCUAUCACAAUGUUUGAAAGGGUUAGCAUCCAAAGUUGUGAAGGCAGCUCAGAGAAGAGCAAAGAGAAUUAUGAUAGAGUUGGAAAAAAAGCUAUAUAUGCUUUUAUUUACCCGAACUUCAUGAUUAAUAGGUAUGGACCUUGGAUGGACACCAAUCUUGUGGUUCCACUAGGACCCAACAAAUGUCAAGUAAUAUUUGAUUACUAUCUUGAACACUCUCUGAAGGUAAUUUGUAGUGAUUUAAGCAUAUGCCUGAUAUUGUAUCCAUGAUUCCGAAUUGCACUAAGGAUAAAAAGAUCUGCUUCCUUGUAUUGGUUCUCUUUUGGACCAUUAGCUGGAAAUUUUAUUUGCUGGCAUAUUUUAUUGACAACCGACAAGUAAUUAUGGGUGAUGUACUAAAACACACAUUUUCUUGCUUUGAUGGAUUCGGUGUAGAACGUAGUCAAGACUUUAAUUAAUACUAUUUUUCAGAAAUUAAUUCAGGAUUUAUGCUCAUAUUGAUGGCUCCAUUCCUUAUAGGAUUGAGCUUUUCAGUUUCUGGGUUUUCACUCCAUAAAAUCAGUGAGGAUGACACAGAUUUCAUAGAAAAAAGCUUGCAAGAUAGUGAGGAAGUGCAGAUAGAAGAUAUUGUGCUGUGUCAGGGUGUCCAGAAGGGCCUCCAGUCCCCAGCAUAUUCAGUGGGCAGAUAUGCUCCAACAGUUGAGCAG